GGUAGUGAAGGUGUACACCCGUAGGCACAAGAAAGGAUUCAGGAGAGGAGGAUGGGAAGCUGUUUUGUUGGUCUGAAUGCUGCUAGUUAAGGGGGCCAUGAGUCUUUUAUGCUUUCAUAUAAAUACUAUUAUGAUUGUUUGGGGAGGGUAUGUUUUGGCAUAGCUUGUAUCAGGUUUCUUAGAAUAAUUGGGAGAGCUAGAGAAGCUUCUGAUUCCUUCCCUCCAUUAUUGAUAAAUAAAAUUGAGGUUAAGGCUUAUCAUAUACAUACCCAGUCAUUGAACUUCUCCAUAUUCCUUAAGAGGCAUAUCUUGCUUGGCUUAUUUGGCUGGCUCUACUCAUGUAGGAUUUCGAAAGGCGAAUCUGACAUCCUGCCAAAAAUGAUUAAUCAGUUUCUUUAACAUGAAGUUUAGGGAUUCAAUCUUUAUAUUAUUUUUAAGAGUUAUUCAAUAUCCCUACCUAGAAUAGACAAAUGAAGCUUGAAACUACCUAUAAUAUUAAUGUUGUUGUUUAAUUAUGACAUUUUGUUAUCGGUCUUUCUAACUUACGAAUAUCCAUCUUCUGAUAUGUGUUCACAUGCAUAUUUUAUGGAUGUAGAUUUUAUAGUAUUUCUUUAUUUAUUUUAUAUGGCAUUAGCUGUAUACUUUUUUUAUAAAAUAUUAAUAUAAAUAUUAAACCACCGAUUCACCAAAAAUUUUAAGCUGAUGGUUGAAAGAAAAUUCAAUUAUAGCCUUAAGCUUAAGCUACUUUGGUGGACUAGAAAGUAUAAUCUUAGAAACACUCAAUCUGAUCAAGUUCUCUGAAGCAAGAAUUAAAGUUCGGAAAAAUCUUUGCGGAUUCUUACCAGCAACUAUAGAAUUAAAGAGUGAGAACUGAGGAAAUUUUUCCCUUAAUUUUGGGGAUUUUGAACCCUUAGAAGCUCCUGUAAUAAUCCAAUAUGAUCUAUUUCAAAGUGAUUUUUCCAAUCCUAUUGAUUUAUGUAGAAUAAAUUCAGUGAUUUUAGAUGAAGGGCUCCAAAGUGAUGGUCUCCCAGAUACCUUAAUUUUCUCAAACAGAAUGGCUUAUCCAUCUCAAGAAAUCCUUUCGAAGCACUUAGGAAGUUGGGUGAUGAAGAAGAAAACCUUGUUCGACCGGAAAGAGUUUCAGCCCUUGAAUCCUCGCGAAAAAAAUAAUUUUCAGAAGGCAAAAUUCAAAUUUGGGUAUAGCUGGCAUCUCCAUGUACUUAGAAGGGGAAAAGACUUCAACAGAAAAGAGAGAAAAACAGACCUCGAAAGAAGAAAAGGCAGCCAGUCGGCAUUUUAUUAUCUCAAAAAACAGCUCACCUAGCCCUCCCCAACCAAAUUUUUUCAAACUUAAUGUAUUUGCAGACAUUUUUAAAGCUGACACACAGAUGGUAGGCCCCAAGAAUUCUAUUAAACAGAAUUCCAAUGGCUUUUGGUAUUCUGACGAAUUGGAGGAAGAAUCAGAGUCCUCUCCUCCAUCAAGGAACUUCACUUGCGGGCCAUCUCCUGUUUUCAGUUCUCAACCAAAAUUACCAGCCUCUCCCAAGACUAAAAUAUCCUCUGCAAUGAAAGCUAUUCCAUUUCAUGCCAUAAAUUUUUCUAAGCACCUCAAGACCUAUACCAAAGGGAGAACUUUUCGCAACAUUUGGAUGAGCUUAACUAAUUCUGAUUUAUUAGAGGAAAGUUGUGUGAAGAUACAAAUUCAAAAUUCAGUUGGCAAAAGGUCAGUACUGCCUUCCUCCUUAAGUAAUAAAUUUUCUCAAUCCUCCUCCAAACUUUCUGGUUCAUUCUUUAAUUUUGUGCAAGAUACUUCUUAUCUAAAAAAAGUUGAGAACCUAGAAGAUGAAUUCAAGGAAGUUGAAUCAGUCACCAGUGUAAGUAGUGCAGAAUUUGAACCAGUUGAGGAAGAAAUAAUUCAAUCAGAGACAAGAAACAAGAGGACAGUGACUCUCUCGGUCCAGAUUUUAUUAAAUUGUUUUCCUCCCCAUAAAAAGAAAUUUUGUGCAGGUCAGCAAGUAUCCUUCCCCCUCAAGAGUUGGUUCCUUUCUUGGCAGCAUGUGAAAUUGAAUUGAUAUAAGGGCAGAGGUAGCAAAGAUGGAGAUUAUAUCAUGGAACACUAGAGGAUUCAUGGGCCAUUCGAAACAAUUGGCUAUUAAAAAUCUUUUGAAGAAAGCUAAUCCAGAUAGAGCAUUGAUUCCGGAGACCAAAAGAGAAGAGAUUGCCAGUUGUAUUAUAAAGGCACUAUGGAUAAAUAUAAGUUGUCGAUUAUUGAAGUUCGGUCAAGAGAAGGAAGGUCAUUACAGUGUGGCUUAUAAGUUGUUUCAACAUUAAUUUAUAAGUUGUUUGGAAAGGUUCUCGCAGAAAGAUUAAAGAAAGUCAGGCCAGGUAUUACUUUGUAAGACCUCCUAUUAUCUAUACCUAUAAAAGGAAGGGUAGAAAGGGAAAUUCCUUAGCAACCAAUUAUGAGAGAAUAAUGGGAGAGGAUCGUGUAGGUGGGGCCCGCCAGGAGGGAAGAGAGAGAGAGGUAUAAAUAUGUAAUGUUGGGGUAGGGGAGGCUAGGUCUUUUUUUGUUAUUUCAAGGAGAGUAAAGGUUGUUGUAGCCUGAGGGUAUCCAGCCCCGUAUAAAGGAGUUGGGUAAGUUUUCUAUGUUGUUCUUCCUUUAUUUUUCAUAUCUACUACUGUUGAAUGUGUUUUGGCUUUUACAUAAAUAAAGAAUUACAGAGUGCUGCCUCUGUUUAGCCAUUUGGUUAGGAUAUUUUGUGUUUUAUUGUUAGAAUCUAACAUACUUCUCCAUUACAAUGUGGCUUUCUGGAAGAGUGCCAAAUCUUGGAUCCUAUUUUAAUAGCAAAAGAAACUGUGGAGGUCUAUAGUAUCCGAAAAAAGAAAAGAUGGAUCAUUAAAUUAGACCUUGAAAAGGCCUUUAACAGAGUGGAUUGGAAAUUUUAGAAAAUGUAAUGCAAAAGAAGAUCUUCGACGUAGGAUAUUGUGUUAUAUUGGCCAGCCUUUACAGCAUCCCCACUUUGAAGUCUUUGAUGAUCAGGACUUUCGGAUCAGCCCUCUGCUUCAAACAGUUUUUGCUCAACCAAUCAAGGCUUAUUCUUCUUUGUUCUCAGCAUGCUGCCUUUGAUUAUGAUUUUUUUGGAAAGAUUCUUUUUAUCAUUUUGUUUGUCUCUGUUUUUGUGGCUUUUUGUUUUGAUCUUGUGUUGUCGCUUUUUGGAUGUUUUGAGGGCACUAAGGGGGUGUCAACCUAGUUUGAGAUGCCCGGAUGCGCCUGUUGAUCUUCCCUCUCCCUUUUUGCUCUUUGUAUAAUCCUCAUGUACAUUGAGCUUUGUCUCUUUCUUUAUAUUAAUAAUAGUGAGACUCGUAUCCUUUUUUAAAAAAAGAAAGAAAAUUCAAUUAUAUAUCACCAACACUCUCCUCACUUGUGGGCUUGAAAUAUUUGAAAGGCCCAACAACUGGAAAUGGAUUUUAAUUGGGAGGAAACGACAAUGCGAGGCUUGAACACAAGACCUUCUUGGACCACCUGCUCGGAUACCAUAUUGAAAGGGAGACAAACAAACACACAACUUUACGUGGAAACCUGUGUACCAGGAGAAAAACCACUAUAUUUUUUUCUUAUUAUUUUCUGAUGAAAAAUACAAUAGGUACAAGGGAGAAUAAAUAGAAUAUACAGAGGAAUAAAAAAGGAAAAUAUUUAGGAAUUAAGAAAAAUAUUCCCAUAAACUUUUCAUAAAUAUUCUAAGAUUCUAACAAUUAAAAGUUCUAUUUAUUCCAAAUUGUGACUGCUCUAAUGUGCAGUUGUUUUCUAAUUCAGAUGAUUGAGGAGCUUGGUGGUUCUCUCACUGCUGAUGGGAGUACAAGCACUCAUGUCAUUACAGGAAAAGUGCGAAAAACUCUAAAUUUUUGUAUUGCUCUCUUUUUAGGGUUAGUCUUGCAGCCUUAGACGAACACUCUUCUAUGUGUCCUUUUGGCCUUUGAAUACCGAUAAUUAUCUCAUUUGCACAAAAGUUAGCGAUUCCAUGCACACAAGGCCUUUGCCGUUAUUCUUCCAUUGCCUCGUAGUUGUGCUUAGGCUAGAAAUUGUUGUGAACCUUCUAGAUCUAAAAGGGUAUAGUUUCUUAUUCUACUGCCUGUUUACUUUUAGUUAAACAUCAAAAUCAAUUCUUAUGUUUGAGUUGGAUUGUAUCAUGCUCUUCCUUUUCAGUUGUUUCUAUCGUGAUGGUGGGUAGUGGUUGUUAAGACAACCAUUAGGCUAAUUUGGGUUUCAGGCUUACUUUUCUCAUUUUACGUGUAAAAUGGCUCAAGCUCACUAAUGAAAGAUAUUUGUUGGCUAGCUAGUGUUUUUAUCCUCGAUUUCCUUCUUCCCCUAAUACAUUAUGUUAUGGAAUUUGUUAGAUACCUAGAUUAGUAUAGGGUUGGGUAUAAGGGUAAUUAGAUAUUUAGAAAGUUACUAGUAGUUAUUGUGUAAGUGUGGUUACUAGUAGUUAUUAUGUAAGUGUGGUAACUAGGGUGGUUACAUGUUAUUAUAAAUGGAGGGAGGGUAAGUUGGGAGAAUUCUGGGAGUGAUAUAAGGCUUGGGUGAGAGUACUCAAGAGGGAGGGUUCCAAGUGCUUUAUACUUGGUUUUAUCUUGUAUUUUCUUAUAGUUACAUUAUAAUAAAUUCAGAUCUUGUUCUUGUUAGGAAGUAUAUGUCUCCAAUAUUAUUUAAAUACAGUAGAAGAAUUAAAAAGGGUAAUAUUGACCCACACGAGAAUAUAGGAGAGAUUAUAGGAGGAGAGAAUAUCGGAGGAGAUCUUUCCCAUUAGUUUGUUAGUAAAGCAAAAUAAAAGGGAGGAAAGAGGAGGGAGAAAGGGACAAAAUAUUCCAAAGAAGUAGAGGCUGCCGUCUUUCGUGCUCGGGAGAAGUAGAGGGUCCAAGUCAAGUUCUUUUUAUUCGACAAUCUCCGGAAGAAUGGAAGGAUCGUCGAGCAAAGGACCAAUGAUUGAGAGUAUCAUCGAAGGUGGAGGUAAGACAUUGAAGGAAAUCAAGGUAGAAGGUAAAACAAACAAGUUUGAAAGGGAUAAAAACUCGAACGAUCAUAGCAAAUUCAAGAAGGUUGAAAUGCCUGUGUUCAGUGGCACUGAUCUGGAUUGUGUUUAUUUAGAACGGAUUGGAAUCUUCAGGUCCAUAAAUCGAUGGACUCUAAGAAGUUGCUGAAUCCAUAGAAGAAUCGAGGAAAACGCGAUUGCAACGGUUAUACAAUGAAGGUGAAGAGGAUGGCAAAGAGUGACCAAGAAGAAACUAUAGAGGAAGGUCGAUAAGGAUUACUUGUGAGGCUCGAAAUGAAGACUCGAGUGAAGAAAAAUUUGUUGCUCAAAGAAACACAAAAUGGCUGGUUGCAAUGGAGAAAGAAGAAGCCGACAGUUACCGGUCUACAGAGGCUCGAGAAGGUGGUCUGAAAUAGGGGUGAAUCACGUGACGAGGAAGAAGUUGCUGCACACAUGAUGGUUCCAAUGACGUGGUAGAAAUUGGUAGGAAAGAGGAUUAGGACAAAAGGAACAAUCUUGGGUCUUACUAUUUCAAGUGGGCUUCAACUUACUCUAAAUGAGCUUCAACUUAUUCUAAAUAAAACAUUGGGGCACAUCAUUUGUAGAUGAAGUGGAUGGAGAGUUCCAAAAAUAGGAGGGAAGAAAAACGUGUAUGUAGGUGGGUCCUAGGAAUGAAACCGGUGGCAAUAUGAUUUUGAUCUUGACGCAACAAUUUGAUUAUGGCCUAGCCCACUAGAGAUGAAGGGUUUGAAAAUUAAACACUUGUUGGUGAUAUGCAAAGGGUUAACUAAGACAAUGUGUUAUGGAAAAGGAAAAUUCAAGUACAUUGGGUUGCUUUGUGGACUGAAGUCAAUGGACCUUAUUGGAAUCGAGAGUUUUUCAAAGCCGAAGGGGAGGAUUUCUUUUUCAACAUUGAAGAGCAGAAUGCUGGGGAUUGUUUGCAAUUAAAAAGAGAAAAAACGAGAAAGGGGCCAUGAUCAUGUUUGUAAGCACACCUUGAGGACAAGGUGUUUUGAAGGAUCGGGUAAUGUUAGAUACCUAGAUUAGUAUAAGGUUAGGGUAUAAGGGUAAUUAGAUAUUUAGAAAGUUACUAAGUUAUUAUGUAAGUGUGGUUACAUCUUAUUAUAAAUGGAGGGAGGGUAAGUGAGGGAGAAUUCUGGGGUGAUCUAGGGCUUGGGUGAGAGUACUCAAGAGGGAGGUUCCAAGUGCCUUAUACUUGGUUUUAUCUUGUAUUUUCUUAUAGUUCAUUAUAAUAAAUUAAGAACUUGUUCUUUUAGGAAGUAUCCUAACAGAAUAACUCUAGAAGGUCUCAUGUUAGCGAAUGAUAAUCUGCGUUAAGUGUGUAUUUGUAGGAGUUCUUCUCCGGGCAUCUAUGGUUGAUAUUCUUUACCUUUCAAUAUAUCAAAGCCAAGGAUUCUUUUGCAUUUCUCUAUGCUUUUUCUUUACCCAUUUAUGCUUUUUUAGUUAUAUUUGAGAGUAGUAUUUCAUUUCUUUCAUGUGAAAUGUUGAACUUCAGUAGUGUGGAGAGUGGAACGUAAUAUCUUACCUUUUAUAUUAGUAAACUUGAUUUUAAGCAAUGUGUUUUUGAAGAUUUUAUGUUGUAGAAUGUUUUUUGUUCUUCAAGCUACUGUUCUUAACUUUAUUUUCUCCUGUUAAUGUUCUCAAUGAUUAUCGAGCAUAUGCAUUACCAUGUGGCUUCAAGCGUGUCAGUGUGCUCUUGCUCAUAAUUUUUACUAUAUCUUGUUACUAAAAUUGCAAGUUAAUUGCAAAUUACUUAGAGCUUGGAUUGUCUCCUCCAGUUGGUUAAAGGAAAGCUACCGGGAAGGCAGAUUUGUUGGUAAGUUCGAAUGGCUUGCUAGUAUCAAAGCAUAAUGUAUUUUCUUCCACUUAUGUUUUUCAUCCUACCUAAUUUUUGUGAUUGAUUAAUUCCUUAUGGAUCUGCAGACGAGUUGCCUUACAUACUAAAUGAUGAUGACUACAUAUCGAAGUAUCGAGCCAGCCUAAAAGUUGUAGUUCUCAGGGCAAAAGCAUGUUCUUGAGCUUUAUUUGAAGGGUAUGAUGUUUGCAUAUCAGCUCACGCUCAACCACCACCUAAAACUCUAUCCCUGAUAGUCAAGUCAGCCGGUGGAAAUGUAAGUUCUCUGUUAUUGUACAAAUCUCGAGUACUAGGUUUGGUUCUCUAUAUUACAUAUACAACCAAUAUAAUAUGGCUAUCCUCCAUCUAAUGAAGACGUGAAGUUCUCAAAAAAACAAGCACGUAUACGAAUUCUAGACAUGGGUCAAUAAAUCAUAGACAUGGUGACGUGUACAUUUUUUUCUUAAAAAUAUAGGAUAGUGCUAGAACACAGUUUUAAUAUAUAUAAUUUAAAAAGUAUGUAUCAUAUUUAUAUAGAAAUUCAAAGUCAAUAAGUUUAUGUAUUUAUAUGCUUAAAAAUAAGCUUGUCCUUCACUCAAAACUUAUUCAAAGCCAAGAGUUUAAUAUGUGUGUGUGACCAAUCUUGACCUUUAUUGCACUGGAAUACUUGUUGUCUAACACAUCUACUGUACUAACUAGUGUUCAACACGUGUUCUCCCAGUGUUCCAUACAUAUUGUUUAUUGAUACACUACCCAAACUAGAGUGUAUGUGCUUCUUUAAGUCUUUAAUAUUUAUGUUUGUUUUGAUCCUAGGAAUUGAGCAUGAAAUGUAAAAAGUCUAUGCACAAGGGAUCAUAUGGCCAUCUCCGUGUUUCUUUAAUUAUCAAAUUUGUUCAAGUUUUUAAUUGUCUCUAGAUCGAAAUCUGGAGUUAUUUUUUGUGAUUUGGUGUACAAAUACAUACAUCCAUGUUUCUAAUUAUGAUUAGAUUGUUUUCUGGUCGCAACAUUUUAUUGUUUAGCUUGUCUUUGAUCUUGAACUUACUAUUAUGUUGAUUUAAAUUCCAUUUUAGCCUUAGAACUUUCAAAACAUCCAUUUUAGUCAUCGAGCUUCCAAAACGUAGCCAACUAACGGUUUUAAAUUUUGUAAAUUAUUUUAUCAAAUUAAUAUUCAUUUAUCCAAUACUCAUCGGUCAUUUCUGCUAUAUGUGAUUGGAAUAUAUCUCAUACGAAGCAUUUUGAAAGUUGGGAAAAGAUGAAAAAUUUUAGGGACUAGAACAAGAAUUUGUUUAAUAUUUUUUGAUAGGGUGAAUAUACUUGCAAUUUCCUUGUAGUAUAUACAUAAUUUUUCUCUCAUUUGGCAAAUUCAUUAUGCUUGAAAAUUUAGGUGAUUCAUGAGCUAGAUAAAGUAAACAACGUAUGGAAGACGAGCUUUAUGGCUUGUGAGGAAGACGUGGAGGAAGCCUUGGUGGCCGUAGAAAAAGGGAUAUGGACUUUCAAACGUUGAAUGGCUAAUGCAUGUAUAAUGAGACAAGAAGUAGACUUGGAGGCCCCUCAAUUUGCUGAGUCCCUAUGAGAAACAAGGUCACCCUUUCAAUUUUGAACUAGCAGCAGCCAGCCAUUUCGUCCUUGUGUAAAUCCACUCUUUUCUCAACUCACUCUAAUUUGGUACAUAAACAAACUCUGAUCGCUCCAUCUCUAUAUUCAUCAGUACAUAAAAGACGAUAAGUUUAUUCAUGGAGAAAGUUGGGAAUGGUCCUUCAUUUAGUAACUUUGGGAAUUGUAAAAAUGAGGUAAUGAAGUUCUAUCAAGUUGAAUGUUCUUGUUUAUGUUGGAUGAGACUGAUUCUUGGAUACCAGAAUUAACUUGAAGUACGUGUUUGAGUUCCAUUGGAGUGAUUAGAGAAAAAAUGUUCCUUUAAAAAGGGUAUUUUUUUUAUGUAGACUCUCUUUUUAUUAAAAUUGCUUAAAAUACAAUUUGAGAGUAUUUCAAUAGCUUUCAAAGAGUUGUCAAACACUUGUAGUUUUUCUAAAUAACAUAUUUUCAAAAUUAAUUACUGUAAUAGUUAAACAAAAGAUUCUUUCCCUUAGAACUUUUAAAGUUUGUCUAGUUACCUCUUAAACCUUUCAAUUGUUUAAUAGGUCUUUCAAUUUUAUGUUUUAAGUGUCUAUAAAUUUUGAUUUUUUUUUAUUGUUAGAUAUAAAUCUGAAGAAAUGAAUAAAGUAGAUUUGUAAGUUUAAAAUAGUUUAAAAGUUGAGAAAUUAAAUUUGUGGUUUAAAAAAGUAAAUAGUUUGUGUUAAGUCGGGUUGUGAUAUUUUAUUUAUUUAUUUUAAUAAUAGAAGAGAGGGAGACGAAAACUGCAAACUGAAGGGAGAAGAAGCGGUGGCUGAAUUUUGUAUAUUUCUCCUUUCUUUUCAAUUUGAGAAAAUUUCUUUGCAAUUCACUUUGAAAAGGAAAUGAAUUGUAACGACCCAACUUUUCUAGGUAAGUCGAGGUCAUUAAUUUUUGACAAAAGACUUUGGUUGAUACAAAAUGAAACGUAAGCCAAUUUAAAAACAACUUUAAGUCAGGCCUGAUUUUCUAAUAUAAAAAAAAAAAAAAAACUUAAAAAUAAUACUUACAAAUAAAAGUUUGUAAACUAAAUUUCAAUACAACAUCUUAAACCUCAAAAGAAACCAUAAGCGGAAGCAAAAUGACACGUUUCCUAUGGCAAUCACGCUUCCUUCCUGCCCCUCGCCGAUUUGCCACCUUUAUUUCCUUUGCCUGAAAAUUAAACAUAAGAAGGGUGAGUAUAACAAUACUCAGUAAGAGACCCUCUACUGGUCCCGUCAGGGGAAAAUAAAUUGUUAACAUUCUAUUGGGACACCCUGUACAGUCGCAGUCUUGUGAUCCCGUAGGAUGCACAUUUCAGUCUAACGCCCGAGGGACGUACAUAUCAGUCUAGUGUUCUGCAGAAACACAUAUCAGUCUAAUGCUCCCGAAGGUGCAGAAUAAAUUGGUGAUCCCGUGGGACACCUACAAGGCACACAUCCCAAUAAAAGCUAACAAUUUUCCCCUCAUUCCAUUCAAUCCAUCUUUCAGUUACUUCAAAAUAUAAAGUUCUUUCUCUCAACGUCCUAACAGUCAACUUAUCUCACUUUAGUCAUAUGUCUGUCAAUAACAUACUAAUACGUCAGUCAAUCAAACUAUACAGUCAAUACACCCCUCAGUUCACCAGCACACAGUCAUACUUUAGCGUAACGUACACCCAGUCUAAACGACAAUCACAAGUUCACAUCUGCAUCUCAUACAAACACAAUCUACAAUUUUCGUCCUGUCCACAUCCACACACAUAUAUAUAUAUAUUCCAAGACAAUCACAAUAUGCAUUCAACACUAAGUCUACUUCAAUCCAUAUGUAUAUAUAUAUUUUCAGUCAAUCCACAGUAUACAUUCAACACCGAAUCUACAUCCAUACGUGUAUAUAUAUAUAUCAUCUCAACAUCUUUACUCAGUCAGAGACAAUCAUACAGACAUACAAUUCACAAUCAUAAGUGAGUCCAGUAGAAAAUCCCUUACCUCAAAGUUAGGGAAGCUCCUUAAUCAACUAACGUCCUCGAAACAAUCCUAAGCAAUACAAUACAAAAAUUCGAUUACUUUCAAGAUACAUAUCUCACUUACUUUCCUCAACGUAAGUUCCAACUCACCGAAGUAUUGGCGAACUGAACCCUCAACAAUUCAUAUAUUGGUUGUGAAUUUAAGGGAGCCCAACGUUACUCCCAACACCUCAACGCACGACUGUCGAACUCGCAGCAAAAAUCCUAAGUGUGGGUCGGUCAGCGGUCGGCCAAAGGAGACGUGGCGGCUGCCUCAAAAUCGAUCGACGAUCUGACGCGGCGACCGGGCUUCACAAGAUGUAUGCAUCGACGGCUUCACGGAGGUGAAGACAGACGCGGUCGAGAGUCGCGCGGCAGUGCAGAAAACAGAGGAGAACGAAAUGGGCGGCGGCUGGAAACAGAGGUUGCGCGGCAGGGCUUCACGAACCGGCCGACGGUUGCAGCGACGGAUCUGGGUUACUGCGAACUGCAAGGGUGAAGCACGAGCGGCAGCGAGGACCUGGACGGCUCGGCGAUGCAGAUCUGGACGACGGUUGUGAGCGGGGAGGCACGACAGUUACAGGUGGAUGGGCGCGGCGGUUUCGAUCCGAAGGAGAAAAGAGAGGGUGGCGGUUGGGUUCGGCUUCGGUGAAUGGAGACGGAAACAGACGAACGGAGAGUCACGCGGGACGACUGCUGCAAGGUUGCUUCGCGAACGGAGAUGGAGAACGGAAGGGAGGGUCGCGGCGCUGGGCGGAAGAAGAAAAGGGAAAAAAGAAAUUUUCAUU
This 11241-nucleotide long non-coding RNA is filed under the name Cucumis sativus (cucumber). RNAcentral's name for it is "long non-coding RNA (CSAT_LNC003113)". Lineage: Eukaryota; Viridiplantae; Streptophyta; Magnoliopsida; Cucurbitales; Cucurbitaceae. The record is from RNAcentral.